UGUCUAAGAAGUUUAAGUGUCCAGUGCAUAAUGAACCAGGCAUCUUUACUUCUCAGACAUA
RNAcentral lists this microRNA precursor (61 nucleotides) under Parasteatoda tepidariorum (common house spider). RNAcentral's name for it is "microRNA pte-mir-11938 precursor". The record is from miRBase by way of RNAcentral. Lineage: Eukaryota; Metazoa; Arthropoda; Arachnida; Araneae; Theridiidae.